This 904-nucleotide ribosomal RNA is filed under the name Escherichia coli. RNAcentral describes it as "partial 23S ribosomal RNA". It matches the Rfam family "Bacterial large subunit ribosomal RNA", at positions 419 to 1323 of the family's 2925-position model. Lineage: Bacteria; Pseudomonadati; Pseudomonadota; Gammaproteobacteria; Enterobacterales; Enterobacteriaceae. The record is from RNAcentral.
GGGACACGUGGUAUCCUGUCUGAAUAUGGGGGGACCAUCCUCCAAGGCUAAAUACUCCUGACUGACCGAUAGUGAACCAGUACCGUGAGGGAAAGGCGAAAAGAACCCCGGCGAGGGGAGUGAAAAAGAACCUGAAACCGUGUACGUACAAGCAGUGGGAGCACGCUUAGGCGUGUGACUGCGUACCUUUUGUAUAAUGGGUCAGCGACUUAUAUUCUGUAGCAAGGUUAACCGAAUAGGGGAGCCGAAGGGAAACCGAGUCUUAACUGGGCGUUAAGUUGCAGGGUAUAGACCCGAAACCCGGUGAUCUAGCCAUGGGCAGGUUGAAGGUUGGGUAACACUAACUGGAGGACCGAACCGACUAAUGUUGAAAAAUUAGCGGAUGACUUGUGGCUGGGGGUGAAAGGCCAAUCAAACCGGGAGAUAGCUGGUUCUCCCCGAAAGCUAUUUAGGUAGCGCCUCGUGAAUUCAUCUCCGGGGGUAGAGCACUGUUUCGGCAAGGGGGUCAUCCCGACUUACCAACCCGAUGCAAACUGCGAAUACCGGAGAAUGUUAUCACGGGAGACACACGGCGGGUGCUAACGUCCGUCGUGAAGAGGGAAACAACCCAGACCGCCAGCUAAGGUCCCAAAGUCAUGGUUAAGUGGGAAACGAUGUGGGAAGGCCCAGACAGCCAGGAUGUUGGCUUAGAAGCAGCCAUCAUUUAAAGAAAGCGUAAUAGCUCACUGGUCGAGUCGGCCUGCGCGGAAGAUGUAACGGGGCUAAACCAUGCACCGAAGCUGCGGCAGCGACACUAUGUGUUGUUGGGUAGGGGAGCGUUCUGUAAGCCUGUGAAGGUGUACUGUGAGGUAUGCUGGAGGUAUCAGAAGUGCGAAUGCUGACAUAAGUAACGAUAAAGCGGGUG